ACUUUACCCUCCAUCCACCAGGGCCGUGCCCACAGGACACACGUGGAGAGGACACAGGCGCCAACAGGAACUGGCCAGCCGGGAAAAAUGCUGAGAGCCCAGUGUGGAGUCAGAGGAAGAAGCGGGUGGCCCUAGCUCUGCCCUGCGGGGGGCAGCCCUGGGGGCUCAGGGUGGGCUCCUAGGGCCAGGAGUCCACCAGGGAAAGAUGGCUGGGGGCAUGGCUGGGAGGUGGGACCUCCAGGGUGGGGCUGUGGGCUAGGGCCCCUCCCCUCAUUGCCUCCAUCCCGCUGUUUCCCUGAAGCAUGGCCCUGACCGGUCUCCUCCCCAGCUGUGGGGCAAGAGGUCUCAUCUCACCUGCCAACGUACAUACCUGGACCAAGGGGCCCCGUGCCCUCUGGGGUUCCUGGGCCAUGCUGGCACCAUGCGGACUGCACACAGCGGGUGUCUCUGCCGCUGAGACCCUGAGCUGGGGGAGCCCUCUGUUCCUAGCUCUCUGCUCCCCUUCCUGGAGGGUUCUCAGGGUGAACUUGAGCCAGGAAUAAGUAAAGCUGGGAGACGGUCAGGAGCAGAGGGUCACCAGACUGCCAUCACCUACAGCCUUGCCGGCGGGCCCCUUGUGUGUCCCUCACACAGAAACCCCUCCCCUGGCCUAGGCUCUGCCCAAGUGGCCCACAGAGAGGGCCCGUCGCUCAGAGCCCCCGCCCCCGCCUUCCGUGGGGCAGUUUUCCCUGGCAACUGCCCAUCCAGUCCCUGGCCAGCAUCACCCUUGUUACUCAUGCUGGUGGCUCAGGAUUAUUGUGUCAACGUCACCCUCCACGUUUUGCCUUCAAAAGUGUCUCCUUGCCUCAGCCUUCUGAACAGGCUGGAGCUCAUUGUGACAUGCGAGUUCCCCUUGCAACGCUCCACUAAUCCCAGAUACGUGUCAUUUUUCCUUGGAAAAUCCUUCCCUGAUUGUUAUUAGGUUGAGAGAGUUUGGGCAAAAAUGGGCAGUGAAGAGAUAAAGAGGUGAAGACCCGGUGGAAGGAUCCCAGACGCGGCAGAGCUUGUAAGCUCUCACGGGCGUUGCUGAACUAGUGACCGCUUCCUGGUGGGAAACUGAGCCUCAGCUCAGGGGCCCUGGCCAUCGCAGCCACUGAGGGCCUUCUUGCCCAUGCAGGGAAGCAGCAGGCAUGGUCCUUGUCCUGCUGCAGGGGCCACCUGGGCACAACACCUAUUCUUUGGCAGAGCCUGGGCUUUGCCCCCCGCUUGAGACAGGCUGAUGACAACCCAGAUGUAUUUGGACUUUAUUUUUUAGAGUAGUUUGGUUUACAGUAAAACUGAGCAGAAGGUAUGGAGAGUCCCCAGAUGCUUGUGGUACAUUUGAUUUUUAACCUCCUCUUCCCAGAGGUGAAGAGGGCACAGUGCCCUUGGGAAAAAUACAGGCAGGACCCUGUGGGUCCACCUGCCAGUUGAGGAGCAGGGCCCUCAGGGGGACACUGUGGAUCUCCACGCUUGUGUGGGAUGCACCAUCACAGCAGAGCAGGCUCCCUGAAGGUCCACCCCCGAGUGCUAUGGCAAAGGGCCGGCUCUGCAGGGGACGGGUGGGUCUGCGUGUGGACAGUGCAUUGGAUGUGCAUUCAGUUUUUGAUAUUCAUUUGGUGCAGUUUGAGUGACCUGCGAGCCCCCGACCCCAUUCUGCUUUCAGAGAGUCUGACCCAAGAGGGUCAGUCCUGCAGCAGUGCUGGGGGGCAGCCCCCAGGCAGGGUGAGUGCUGAGCUGCUCUGGAGGGAAUGAGGCACACUGGGUCAGGAGUCUGCCCUGAAAGCAAUGGGCUCAGCGUGUUAGGGAUUAAACCAGGGCUUUGUGCACAGGAUGCCAAGCAAGUGUCCUACCCCUGAGCCACCGGUACCCCCAAGCUCACGGGCAGUGUGUGGACUGCAGGACUGGGCAAAGUCAGCUGUCCUUUACCAGGGGCUCUGGAGUCAUUGCCUGAGGCUCGCUUCUCCUGGUGCACAUCUCAGGCCUUGCUGGAGGGGACAGGCAGGAUGGCAUGUGCAGGGUCCACUUGGGACGCAGCUGGAGGCCUCAGCAUCUUCCAGCCCACAGAAUAAGGAAGAAGAAGAGGAGGAGAUGAGACAGCAUCGUUGUGACACAAUGGCAACCCAGUUCCCAACAGAGCAAGAUGCCAACCAUGGCACUGCUGGCCCCCAUGCUGUAACUGUACCCAAUGCCCACGAUUUGUCCCCGCUCCAUUGUGAGGGUGUUAGGAGGGGCCUUUGGAACGACUGGGAUCACUGCCUUUACUUCAGAGGCCCUGAGAGACUCUUCUCCCUCUGUCCACGCUGUGAGGGGCUCUGUGAACCAGACACAGGCCCUCACCAGACACCAAAUCUGCUGGCACCUUGACCUUAAAUCUUGCAGCCUCCAGAACUGAGGAGAAAAGUGUCUGUUGCUUAUAAGGCACCCCAACUAUGCUCAGGGUGAGCGGCAGGAACGGGCUCAGGGCCGGCCACCUGAGACCACUCUUGUCAGACAUCCGACAGCGGGCAGACUGGGCUGUCAUUCCAGUGUGAGCUCAUCCUGAAGGGUCACUUGUCUGAGGGCCCUCUUGGGUCCCCACACACUGCUGAGGGUGUCAACAAUGGAAAGCCCUCAACACUGUCCACCCAGCAGCUGCCCAGCGUGGAGUUUGUCCUGAAAACCCUUGAGGGGAAGAGCAGCAAGCUCAGUGCAGUCCAGGGACACUGGACUCCCCCAGCUCAGGGCCCCCCAGCAGCAAGGAUGCCCACCGUGUGCGCAGCCCCGACAGGCCCUGGAACGUGGGGCGACACACAGUGGCCCAUGUGAUCUGCACCACCGUGAGGAGUCGAGUCCUCUGUCUCUGACCCAGGAGUCGUGGGUCUCCGGCCAGCAUCUGUGCCACAGCAGGCCAGCUUAUUCUUAGACCUGACGGUGCCCUGUCACCCUCCAAGACACACAACGAGCUCUGGCUAGCAGCCCAUGAGCAGAAGUGACCUGCCGCAGAUCUGUGUGGCUGUAAGAGCCAUGAUGUGACCUCUGUCUCCUGCCCUCACCUGCCUGUCAGGAGACUGGCACGUUCCAGAUGCCACUGCUUACUCAGCCUGGGUCCCAGAGUGAGGGUGGCGUGAAGAGCACAGCCACACUGUGCCAACAGGACACAUAAGCAGGGGUCAGACACAGCUGAUCGGCUGGGGCUUGGGGCUCAUUUGUACGUGCAGCAAACCCAGCAAAGCUGAUCAGCAAGCUGUGGACGGACGGAGUCUAUAAACAGACGGUAGGAGCUGUCCUCUGAGGAUGUCUGCCCUACUCAGAUAAAGGCAAAUGCAUCUGUAUGUUUACCUCCAGUUUUGUGUUAUAUAAGAAUGGAGUUCAGGACCUGGCCCUCCAGCACCCGCAGAAGACUGUUCUGACCCCCUUUCUGUUUCUUAAAAGUAGAAAAUGAGACUAGGGCUGUGGCUCAGUGGCAGAGCACUUGCUUUGCAUGCAACAGUCCCGAGAUCCAAAGCGCCAGGUCCUGGCGCUCACCUAAAAAGGAAAACAAGAAACCAAACAGAUGGAGAGUUUACUAGGUGAAGUUCCUCCCUCCCCGCCCACUGGAAGUAAAAGCCACAUCCUUAUCUUCAUUCAAUGAGAAGCUGCAGCCAUCGCAACAAUUCUGCACUGGCUUUGUUAAAACAACUGCUUUUUGGCCUGUAAUCCCAGCUCAGGAGGCUGAGGCAAGAGGAUCGCAAGUUCGUGCCAGCCUCAUUCAGCAAUUUAUCGAGGCCCUAAGAAACUUAGCCAGACCCUGUCUCAAAAACAGCAAACCCUCUGACCUUCUCCCUACCCCCAAUUUAGUUAACCUCUUCCCAACUUCCUAUUCUUUGUCCAGUGAAGUGAAGAAGACGGGCUUCUAACUG
This is a long non-coding RNA of Ictidomys tridecemlineatus (thirteen-lined ground squirrel), 3899 nucleotides long. RefSeq lists it as uncharacterized. The record is from RefSeq and is a predicted model, not a curated record. NCBI's taxonomy places the organism in Eukaryota, Metazoa, Chordata, Mammalia, Rodentia, Sciuridae.